Mastomys coucha (southern multimammate mouse) is the source of this 1678-nucleotide RNA transcript. RefSeq lists it as uncharacterized. The record is from RefSeq and is a predicted model, not a curated record. NCBI's taxonomy places the organism in Eukaryota, Metazoa, Chordata, Mammalia, Rodentia, Muridae. The transcript has 3 exons.
UAACUUUGGCACUGCAGAGGUAGAUUGGAUCACUGUAAAUUUGAGGUCUGAUCUACAUAGUGAGUUCCAGUCAGCUAGGGUUAUGCAAUGAGACCCUGUCUGGGGAACAACAAAGUCAUAGGUACUAAGUGUCGACCUAUGUGAAACAAUGGUGCCUGGGUGCCUAGAUUUUGUUAAAAGCCAAAGACAGGUUUGUUUUUUUUUUUUCUAUUCUAAGCCAGAUGAAAGAAGGGAAAAGCAAAGUAUCAAUUUAUUUGUUCCUCUCUAUUAAAGGAGCAAUACAGCCUUGUCUUUGUUUUUAAUUCUCUUACUUGACAGAGUGAAGCUGAUAAUGCUGCUCAGUAACAUUGGUUUGUGUUGCCAAGCAUCUGGUCUGUAAAGCACCAAGCACGGGUAAUGUGGAGGAUUUUUGUGUGGGACUAGCAGGCUCACACAGUGCAGUUAAGGAAGGGAAGUGAGAUAUUCUUUCCCUCCAAAGGAUUCUGUGAGAGAAUCUAAGUUAAGCCAGAGAACAAUGGGUUUGAGGCAAACAUAACUUGAGGGCAGAGAAGGGAGCAUUCUACAGGGGACAGUGGCAUGGUGAAGAGCCCAGUGGCAGGAGUCCCAGAAGACCUGUAUUCUCAGGUCUUUCCUCAGGAGACCUGUAUUGGACUCCAUCUUGUCAAGACCUAGCUCCUCAGUCGGCAACAUACUAGCUUCAUGAGGCUACUGAGCACCUAAAGUGUAUCUUGUAUCAUUGCAGGAACAAAAUUAGAGUUAACAAAUACCAAGCAGGAAAGUGGCUGGUGAGGAAAUCAAUGAAAGACAGAUUGGCCUGGGCUAAGUGUACACAAGACCCUCGGAUUGCAGUAGGUCCCUGUUCCCCACUAGAAAAGAAAAUUAAGGUGGCACCCAUUCUUCACGAGUGAGAAAACUGUUAGUCCAGGAGUUCCAGCAGGAGAGUGAAACAGUUGAUAAACUUAAGACCAUGUCUUUUGACUUCCGGUUUGCUAAAGCAGAUUCCUACUACUAUCAACAGCGUCAGGAAAUGAUCAGAGAAGCCUGGAAUUAUAAACCAGAUGAAGAGUGGAACACUAACCCAGAGGAAGAGAAGCCAAAAUGCAAAAAAACAAAGAAUGCUAAAAAAUGGGACUACCUAGUACCUGAGAGAGAGAUGAAUCACAUAGAGAAACACAUACACAGAGCUGAACGGGCUAGAGGCCUCAGAGACCACAAAUACCAACUAAUCCCGCAGAACACUUCAAGUAAAACUCCUUCCCCAAAACCAUUAGUACCAGAGGAUGAAAAGAAGAAAAAUAUCCCGAAACCACAUAAAACUAUACCCAAAAAGCCUAAAAUGGCAUGGGCAAAGGAGCAAAUGAAGCAACAUAAAGACCGGAUGAUGAGAGGAAGAGCGCUCAGCGAAGAGAGAGAGGACCAAAGGGUUCCAAAGCUUACCAUCCAUGGCCGCCCUCACUUAAAAUCAAAAGCGAAGAAAGAAGAAGAGAAAGAGUUUGAAAAGGUCAAAGCGUAUCCCAUCUUCCAGCCUUCCAAUGAAAAACUUAUAGAAGUGACUGUUCACAUGGAAAAGUCGAAAUCGGUAAACGUGCAAAAACCACUCGGAAGGCAAUUCCUGUGUAUGCCACCAUUUUUGAAAAGUCAACUCGAAAAAAAUAAAAAGCUUAAGCUAUUUCCUUGA